This 591-nucleotide ribosomal RNA is filed under the name Triticum aestivum (bread wheat). Its description in RNAcentral is "partial small subunit ribosomal RNA". The record is from RNAcentral. Lineage: Eukaryota; Viridiplantae; Streptophyta; Magnoliopsida; Poales; Poaceae.
AUGGACGUCAUGGUGGACGUCUACACGGUGGAGUGCCUCUACAAGCGUUUCGGCUGCCCGACGUCCAUGGCCUACCACUCGGUCGCCGACCACGCGGCCAGCUGCAGACACGCGCCCUGCUACUGCUUCGACUGCCGGUUCGACAGCUCGCCUGUGAGCCUCGUGGGCCACCUGACGGCACGACACUCGUGGCCGGUGGAGAAGAUCCAGUACGAGGUGGCCAAAUCGUUCGUCGUGCCGGCGUCGGAGGAGGACAAGCGCCGCCUGCUGGUCGCGGAGGACAACUGUGUGUUCCUCCUGGCCGUGGGUGCCGGCAGGGACCCGGGCGGCCGCCGGCCCGUCAACGUCGUCUGUGUUAGGGGCAACGCGAAGCCUCUGUACACGGGCGUGCUCUGGGUGGACGGUCCUCCGGCGGCCCCGGGCCAACCACUCACGAGCAGCUUCCAGCUGAAAGCGACGGUGGCGAGCUGCUCCGUCCCCGGCGAGGUGGACAUGGAGCAGGGCUGGCUCCACGCGCACGUCGACCCCAACAUGAUGCACGGAGAGUCCGGCGAGCUUCAUCUGCGCCUUUGUCUCACCAAGCUCUCCUGA